AUUGUAGGUGAUGCUGCAGUUGGUAGAGGCGUGACAAGACACAUCAUCUCGUCUGCCAUUUCCAAGCUGAAACAAGGAUUUAAAAUGAACUUCGGAAAUGCUGCAGUGACUGCAAUGUUUGAAGGGGAAACUGAUCACCUUGUACCAACUACUUCAGCAGUGCUUGCUGAGAGCGAGCUGUUUGUCAUGGCUGGUCGGCUGAUUGGCCACUCUUUAAUUAAUGGAGGUCCAACCUUGUCGGGCAUCAGCUUGGCAGUAGUGCAUGCCUUGACAAGUGGUUCAAAGGAGUUGGCGACAACAUACCUUUCCCUAGAGGACUGCCCAGAUAUUGACCACAGAGAGAUCAUUGGUUUCGUAACUGCUGAAAGAAGAGAUGACUGAGGAAGAGACUUCAAGAUUGUCCAAUCUGUGUAUGGAGUGGUAUUUUCCUGUGCCAACCAAGGAGACAAACAAACUUCUCCUCUUACAGCAGCUCCUCACCCAUGCUGCCAUCACUCGACUUAGUGUGCAAAUGAAGCACCUGAAAAGGGGACUUAAAGAAACGGGUAUCUGGCCACUAAUUACAUCCAGACCUGAUGUUGUGCCCCUCCUCUUCCCGAGGGAAAGUGAAGUGGAAAUCACACCCCAGAUGGUCCUGCAGUCAAUCGUUUGGCCGCACCUAAAAAAAAGGUAUGACAGUGACGACAGCGACGAUGACUUGGAGGCGGAAACUGCACUGGUGGCUGGGUUAUUCCGUCAGUUUGUCGAAGAAGGUAAAAUGUCUGCAUGAGCAUUUUGACAGUAUUUAUAUGUUAUUUUGAAAAUGACAAAAGACAUGUGCAUUACAUACCAGCAUAUUUCUGCUAAUCAUGUCUUACAACACAGCACAGAUAAAUUAGGUACAUUAGCAGUAUUCAUAUACAGUAAUUAUUGGCAUUUGGUGGAAAAAGGAUGCAAAGCCCUUGUUAGGUUUCCAAACAGUUUUGUAUACCAGUUACAAAAAGACUAUGUGGCUAUAGAACAGACUUAAAGUAAAAUGAGAAGGUGUCUGGUGUUUACGCUGCACCAAAAAUACGAUUCAGUUGUAUUUGAGAAGGAAUGCAAUUCACAAAACACCACAUCUUUGAGGACCUUCAACGAAUAAAUCACAUUAUUAUAUAGAUGCCACAGGAAACAUGGUGUUUCUCUUAGUCUAUGCUUUGACAGGAGGUCAAUCAGUUAACAAGGUAAAAGGUAUUCAAAUGAUUUUGAUUUUUUAAUGAUAUCACAUUUAUAUGGAUCUGUUGCUUAUAUUUAAAAUACUUUUGCCUAAAUAUCUCAAACGCGACUUUAUGAAUGAUUCAAUUAUACAGAAAAUUCCACAUGUAUCUAAAACAAAUUAAUUUAUACUUUUCAUAGCGUCUUCAGACAAACUGCGUGAGCUCCUGAGGUUUUGGGUUGGCUGGGAGGUCCCUUGCCAAGAGCUGAAGCUUGAAGUUGUCCUGUCAACUGGACCUAACCAUAUGCCGACGUCUUCAACCUGUAGUGAGCGAUUACGGCUACCAAGUCACUACACCACCUACCAGGCCCUGUCAGCCGACAUGAAUGUGUGUCUGAAAUCAGUAGAGACAGGCUUUGGUCUUAUUUGAUAAAUAUGUAUUGAUGUUUCAUUUGUUGAAAAAUUGCAGUUCGACAUGGCAAGUCAGUUAAAAUAGAAAGUAAUUUUAUUAUUAGCCUUGCAUUUUUUUUUUUUUUUUUACAAAUAAUGUCCAUCAACACAGUCUUGACAGGAAGUUGUGUUCCUGAGGUGACUACUAAAUGUUUGUCAGGCAUCCCUGUUCAUCAUGUGGUUUUUUGCUGAAAUAUUCCACAAAUGUUUGGCAUUCAAACAUAAAAUAAUUUUCAUGUUUCUGGUGUACAUUAAACUUUAUAAAGUUAA
Molecule: RNA transcript, 1897 nt
Organism: Xiphophorus hellerii (green swordtail)
Lineage: Eukaryota; Metazoa; Chordata; Actinopteri; Cyprinodontiformes; Poeciliidae
Exons: 5
Source: RefSeq, a predicted model, not a curated record